Notothenia coriiceps (black rockcod) is the source of this 385-nucleotide long non-coding RNA. RefSeq lists it as uncharacterized. The transcript is spliced from 3 exons. Lineage: Eukaryota; Metazoa; Chordata; Actinopteri; Perciformes; Nototheniidae. The record is from RefSeq and is a predicted model, not a curated record.
CCCUCAUAUUUCAUUACAGGCAAUUGUGGGCUACUUUGACAUUUUCUUUGACAAAGGCUGCAGCAACAAGGUGAUGUUCUCCACGGGUCCUCAGGCAACAAAGACACACUGGAAACAGACAAUCUUCCUACUGGAGAAGCCUUUCUCUGUUCAAGCAGGAGAGGAACUCCAGGGAAAGAUCACUGUGCGUAAAAACAAGAAGGACCCGCGCUCGCUGUUCGUAACAUUUGACCUCCGAGACAGGAAGCUGAUUUAUAGCCUGCAAUAAUGUCAGCUAUUGCAUGAUACAACAUACAGUAAAUAUAACCCACAUUUUUAACUGAACAUUCAUGUAUUCAGAAUUGAUCUUGUGUCUUGUAAUAAAAAAAAAACAGCUGACAUAUGA